GGCCAGGGGCAAUCCCUGUCCCCUUUCCCAUUGCCUGGGUACUUGAGAAUUUCUAUUCUCUCCUCACCGCCUACUUUUCUGUCCGCAUUCCUCUGAUCCUACUUCCUUUUUGGUCAGGUCUUUAACCUGGCUGCUUUCCCAGCUCACAGCAACACCCAACAAAUUAACUGGAGCAAAUCCAAACCAGAAAUAACAACACACAGAACCAACUUUCAUUGUUUUACCUAAUAACCUUUUGGGUUCAGCAAAAUAUUACCUCAUCUCUGACAACAGGGUAGAGGACUCUGAUGUCACCAACCUCUGGAUGAUGACAUCAGGCAUUGCUGGAUUGUGACCUCACCUUCUCUCCCUGCUUAUCUUGGGGUUCCAAGGAGUUUCAAUGCCUUUUGUGCUGUCACAGGGGUUGGAGGCUGGUGUCAGAGAGCAGUGGGCUGUGACAUCACAGAGGGAUGCAUUGUGACAUUGUGCCCCUCAAUUCCAAGGAAUACUUUUGAAAACUACUUCCCAAAGUGAAUCUUUCUCCAAGCAGAUGGACUGGCAAAACCCAUAAUCUGUGAGCAGAAGACAGGAAUAUUUUUGCCUGUUGGAAAAAUGCCAUAGCAAUGUGCUCUUGACUAGGCGCACUCUUGUCCUUACCAUAAAGAAAAGACACUGAACAAAAUGAAA
Passer domesticus (house sparrow) is the source of this 666-nucleotide long non-coding RNA. RefSeq lists it as uncharacterized. The transcript is spliced from 2 exons. NCBI's taxonomy places the organism in Eukaryota, Metazoa, Chordata, Aves, Passeriformes, Passeridae. The record is from RefSeq and is a predicted model, not a curated record.